RNAcentral lists this ribosomal RNA (484 nucleotides) under uncultured bacterium. Its description in RNAcentral is "partial 16S ribosomal RNA". It matches the Rfam family "Bacterial small subunit ribosomal RNA", at positions 29 to 507 of the family's 1533-position model. The record is from RNAcentral.
AUUGAACGCUGGCGGAAUGCUUUACACAUGCAAGUCGAACGGCAGCACGGGGGCAACCCUGGUGGCGAGUGGCGAACGGGUGAGUAAUACAUCGGAACGUGCCCGGUCGUGGGGGAUAACGUAGCGAAAGUUACGCUAAUACCGCAUACGAUCUGAGGAUGAAAGCGGGGGACCUUCGGGCCUCGCGCGAUCGGAGCGGCCGAUGUCAGAUUAGGUAGUUGGUGGGGUAAAGGCCUACCAAGCCGACGAUCUGUAGCUGGUCUGAGAGGACGACCAGCCACACUGGGACUGAGACACGGCCCAGACUCCUACGGGAGGCAGCAGUGGGGAAUUUUGGACAAUGGGCGCAAGCCUGAUCCAGCCAUUCCGCGUGCAGGACGAAGGCCUUCGGGUUGUAAACUGCUUUUGUAUGGAACGAAAAGGCUCUGGCUAAUACCUGGGGCUCAUGACGGUACCGGAAGAAUAAGCACCGGCUAACUACGCG